GGUGAAGGUGCUCAGCAAGGGAAGGAGGGAAGAAGGGCACAGGGCAGCCCCUGGGGUGAAGAGGAUGGGGUCCAGGAGGAAAGAAUUGGAGGAGAACAUCUUUCUGACAGAAGCUAGAGAAAAUCCCAUGAAUUCCACAGAUGAAUGGACAAAGAUAGUCCAGAAGCUCCAUUUUCCACCUGUCAUCACAAGGACAGAAGGCAAUGCUUUAUGAGUAGUAUUCAAAAAUAAUAUUAAUUUUUAAGACAUUAUGGUAAGGGAAGCAAUAUUCGUGUGCAUGCAAUACACAAACAAAGACAUACUGUAAACAGCAAUAACAACAGCAAAACAGAAAAAUAAUCAGGAAUGCAAUAGAGGUACCGAAAAUUAUUUCUCUGAAUAUUUAUGUAUAAAUACAUAACAGAUGAUCCAAAUCAAUGCACCCUCCACAAUACUCUGUUUUUAUGUUGAAAUUUAAGGGGUUAACUGAUAGUUUAUGAGCUUAGAAGGAGAAAGAGUUAUUACCACGACACCAGGUCAGAUCUGUGUUAGAUUUUUAUGCCCAUGCUAUCACAACUGGUAUUAGGAUAAAAACACUGCAAUAUAAAAAUGAUUUAAAGUAAUUAAUUAAAUGGUAGGCUUCAUGGUGUAUGCCAUUUUAUCUUAGAAUCUGACACCUUUACAUGAACACAAUGAUCCAUUUACUGAGCUGUUACAGUCCCACUGUGACCAGAGCUUACCCACUGGGGAGAUAAAUGCUUUUCAAUUAUUCAAGAAUUGUCUGGAGACCCUAUGAAGCAGAGAACAAUUAAGAAAUAGAUGAUAAAUCUAAAGCAUAGAAUCAAAUGAUGGGCAUCAGGGAUGAAAAUGACAGUUGUCAGUAAAGCUGAGGAUUAAAAUCCUCUUCAUUUUAUCCCAGCCUGUUUGUUUAUUUUCACUUGAAAUGAAGUCUGCUAACUCCCUGAGACACUUUGAAGUCACCAACUCCUGCUGGUAAAUCUUUACCAUUCUAUUGAUUUCUUCACACACACACACACACACACACACACACACACACACACACACACACACGCACGCUGUAAAUAUCAAUUUAAAUAUCUAAAUUCUCUAGAACGAAGAAGACUCUGUCAAUGCCCAAACAAUGAUGGACUCACACAGCUGGCUUAGCAGCCUGGAUGGUGAGGUGCUGACAGUUUGAGUUGAAGCAGAAAGGAGUGGUCCGCACAAUAUACGCCAUGAAGAGUUUAUGUGCAGCAUGUGUAUGCAGGUGCCAAGAGAUACCAGAGGACAUUUGAUCUCAAGCAGCUGCAGCUAAUGUGUCCUCUGGGAACCAAACACAGGUCCUCUGCGGGACAGGUAAAU
Peromyscus maniculatus bairdii (prairie deer mouse) is the source of this 1341-nucleotide non-coding RNA. Lineage: Eukaryota; Metazoa; Chordata; Mammalia; Rodentia; Cricetidae. The record is from RefSeq and is a predicted model, not a curated record.